AGUGAACGCUGGCGGUAGGCCUAACACAUGCAAGUCGAACGGCAGCACAGUAAGAGCUUGCUCUUACGGAAGGCGAGUGGCGGACGGGUGUGGAAUACAUCGGCAUCUACUUUUUCGUGGGGGAUAAGGUAGGGAAACUUACGCUAAUACCGCAUACGACCUACGGGUGAAAGCAGGGGAUCUUCGGACCUUGCGCGAUUGAAUGAGCCGAUGUCGGAUUAGCUAGUUGGCGGGGUAAAGGCCCACCAAGGCGACGCUCCGUAGCUGGUCUGAGAUGAUGAUCAGCGACACUGGAACUGAGACACGGUCCAGACUCCUACGGGAGGCAGCAGUGGGGAAUAUUCGACAAGGGGCGCAAGCCUGAUCCAGCCAUACCGCGUGGGUGAAGAAGGGCUUCGGGUUGUAAAGCCCUUUUGUUUGGAAAGAAAAGCAGCAGGUUAAUACCCCGCUGUUUUGACGGUACCCAAAGAAUAAGCACCGGCCAACUUCGUG
This 492-nucleotide ribosomal RNA is filed under the name uncultured bacterium. Its description in RNAcentral is "partial 16S ribosomal RNA". It matches the Rfam family "Bacterial small subunit ribosomal RNA", at positions 29 to 507 of the family's 1533-position model. The record is from RNAcentral.